Molecule: small nucleolar RNA, 138 nt
Organism: Tachyglossus aculeatus (Australian echidna)
Lineage: Eukaryota; Metazoa; Chordata; Mammalia; Monotremata; Tachyglossidae
Source: RefSeq, a predicted model, not a curated record
CCCCUCUCAAGGUCGCACUUGGAGAGUUUCCAGGAGUCUACCAAUCUCAACUUCAGGAGUGAGAGUCAAGCAGAGGCCUACCCAUUCCAUUCCUAGCUUGGGGAGUGGCUAGUGAGUGGAAGAAAAUCUGCUACAAAU